GUGGGGAAUCUUGCGCAAUGGGCGAAAGCCUGACGCAGCCAUGCCGCGUGAAUGAUGAAGGUCUUAGGAUUGUAAAAUUCUUUCACCGGGGACGAUAAUGACGGUACCCGGAGAAGAAGCCACGGCUAACUUCGUGCCAGCAGCCGCGGUAAUACGAAGGGGGCUAGCGUUGCUCGGAAUUACUGGGCGUAAAGGGCGCGUAGGCGGACAGUUUAGUCAGAGGUGAAAGCCCAGGGCUCAACCUUGGAAUUGCCUUUGAUACUGGCUGUCUUGAGUACGGGAGAGGUGAGUGGAACUCCGAGUGUAGAGGUGAAAUUCGUAGAUAUUCGGAAGAACACCAGUGGCGAAGGCGACUCACUGGCCAGUUACUGACGCUGAGGCGCGAAAGCGUGGGGAGCAAACAGGAUUAGAAACCCUUGUAGUCC
Molecule: ribosomal RNA, 425 nt
Filed under: uncultured bacterium
Lineage: Bacteria
Description: partial 16S ribosomal RNA
Rfam family: Bacterial small subunit ribosomal RNA
Source: RNAcentral